Molecule: long non-coding RNA, 734 nt
Organism: Strongylocentrotus purpuratus (purple sea urchin)
Lineage: Eukaryota; Metazoa; Echinodermata; Echinoidea; Camarodonta; Strongylocentrotidae
Exons: 3
Source: RefSeq, a predicted model, not a curated record
AGAAGGCCUCUCCCACGCUACUGUGUCCCGCCUUGUGAAGUCCAUCUCAAUAGCCAUUGCCAGGAGAUCGGAGCAAUACAUCUCAAUUCUUUCAACAAGAGAGGCAGUCCUGCAGAGUGCAGACCCAACAUGAAUUUUAUAAUUACUGCCAUUUCCCUGGCGUUAAUAUGGUUGGUGCUAUUGAUUGCACCCACAUAGGCGUCUCCAAGCCAGUUGGCCCAACACCAGUCAUUUCCUGAACAGGAAAAAUAGAUACUCCAUUUUUCUUGGAAAGUCUGCUGGAUGAUGUUCUUCUUCAGUAAAAUAAAUGAAGGCAAAUAACCUGAUGAUUAAGACAAAUUCAGAGAGAGGAAGGAGAACUUCUGAGCUGCUGAAUUUCUGAGAGACAUACUUGCGGGGACUAUGAAGUUCUACUUAGCCUAUUCAAUGAACCAAACUCCGUCUGCUGUAACUGUGACUGCAUGGGGAUCAAAACCUUUUGUAUUAUAAUCCUCAUAACAUGAAGCUAUGGUAACAAACAAGCAACCAUUGAUAAUAAGCCUGAUAUGUCCUUGUUGUGUGUGUGAACCACAAAGGAACAAUUACUCAUAAGGAUGUUUUUAUGUACAUCAGAUGUUUACUGUUUCACUGGAAAAAUUGUGAUUUUAAGUCAUUUAAGAAAUUAUGUUUUGUAUUGUGUUUUAUAAUAUAGUGCAAGUCAUCAUAUAACAGAUUCCCUGCACAAGAAACACAGC